UGGGAAGAGCAUGUAGAUCGAUAUCAUGGAUUGUCGCUCCUGGUAGAAUCCCUCUAGAUGACUUCUUUCAGCUACCAAAAUCACCCAGCAUAGAUGCAAUCCGGCCACGUUCUCUGCUGACGCACUCUCUGACUGAGGUUGUCCUCAAGAACUCUGGAUCUUGCCUGGUGAUCCUAAAAUCGCCGCCCGACUCGUAGGCAGAGGCCCCAAAUCGAGCCUUAUGCCUGGCCACCUCCUCCUGCUGCCACCGAUCAUCUAGGCUUGCCUACAUGGCCGCUUGGAUCUCUGCCCUCUCCUAAUCUAGAUUCUUAAUCUCCUCUGGCUCUCUAGAGUGAUAGGAAAGUGGCGAUCCACCUUCGCUCUCUUCUUGAAAAUCCUCUUCUUCGCUUUUUUGACCUUAGCGAGAUUCUGUCUCAUCAGCACACGAAUCUCGUCUGGGCAAUUCGGGCAUGUAGCAACCUCACUGGAAUUUCCGGC
Molecule: long non-coding RNA, 477 nt
Filed under: Phoenix dactylifera (date palm)
Lineage: Eukaryota; Viridiplantae; Streptophyta; Magnoliopsida; Arecales; Arecaceae
Description: long non-coding RNA (PDAC_LNC016371)
Source: RNAcentral